RNAcentral lists this ribosomal RNA (253 nucleotides) under uncultured bacterium. Its description in RNAcentral is "partial 16S ribosomal RNA". It matches the Rfam family "Bacterial small subunit ribosomal RNA", at positions 524 to 776 of the family's 1533-position model. The record is from RNAcentral.
UACGGGGGGGGCAAGCGUUGUUCGGAAUUACUGGGCGUAAAGGGCUCGUAGGCGGCCAACUAAGUCGGACGUGAAAUCCCCAGGCUCAACCUGGGAACUGCGUCCGAUACUGGAUGGCUUGAAUCCGGGAGAGGGAUGCAGAAUUCCAGGUGUAGCGGUGAAAUGCGUAGAUAUCUGGAGGAACACCGGUGGCGAAGGCGGGUCUCUGGGCCGUAACUGACGCUGAGGAGCGAAAGCGUGGGGAGCGAACAGG